Megalobrama amblycephala (Wuchang bream) is the source of this 665-nucleotide long non-coding RNA. RefSeq lists it as uncharacterized. The record is from RefSeq and is a predicted model, not a curated record. NCBI's taxonomy places the organism in Eukaryota, Metazoa, Chordata, Actinopteri, Cypriniformes, Xenocyprididae. The transcript has 3 exons.
UUUCCUCAGCAACGACGUCGACCAUACUCCUCGCAAAUCCUGGUAAGUAACGUUAGUCAGCUAAUCCUACUUACGUGUGUAACACUUUAUUAAAAAGUUAAUAAUUAUUAAGCAUUUCCUAACAAUUGUCUUUGUAUUUUACGUCAUCUUAAACAAGUUCCAAGGCUUAAUCGAAGCCACCUGAAGGACGGCUUUCCUCAGCAACGAAAGUUCAACAAAUUUCGCGGCUCAAGCAAGAGGCACCUGUCACUGAAGGACUGCUUUCCUCAGCAACGACGUGAACAGCAUUACUCGAAUAUCCUGAUUCAGCUGAUCUACCCGUCUUUGUACAAGCGGAGUUGGCAGAGGAGGUCAUAAAAAUCUUCAUCCUUCGGGACAAUGAUGGGGCAGUCAGUGAUGUAGGAGUUGUGAUUGAAGGCAUCACUGUCCUCCGCAAUCUUGGGAAUCUCAGCAGAGCCUGCUGCUAUCUUUUAGGACUCACGUACGCAUUGGAUUUGAGAUAUCCCAAGACCCACAAAUGCUCACUUGAGGUGUUCCAAAAACUGUUUCUUGAGCUGGAUCCUUCAAGACUCUCUGUUAAGGUUCAGAGGUUAAAAAAUUAUCUUCUUGCAUAGUUGCUGUUCAAGAUCAUCCCUCAGAAUGGGCAUUCCUGAUGGAAGUGUUUC